GAUAUGAGUAAAGCGAAAAACACGAUUUCCAAAUAAUGCCCAGAAAAAGACACCUUUUAUGCAUAGAGAUGUCAACAAAUAGGCACCAGGACUCAGACCCACUCUAACUGAGCUCAGGGUUGAAAGUUUACUGUGUUCCCAGCAGUCUGGCCAGCACGAUGUGAAAACAUUUGCUGAGAAGCUUCCAAUAAUUCUGCCCUGGCUCCCCAGAAUAAUCUCUGAAGACAUUGAAAAGGUUCAGAUAACUGAAGAAGAGUCCAGAUUAGAAGAGCACCUGCAACUCUUCCAUCAGGCUGCUAUUCUACUCUGCUCCUCCUCCAUUUUAAGGUAA
Molecule: long non-coding RNA, 331 nt
Filed under: Crocodylus porosus (Australian saltwater crocodile)
Lineage: Eukaryota; Metazoa; Chordata; Crocodylia; Crocodylidae
Description: lncRNA (ENSCPRG00005017623.1)
Source: RNAcentral